CGGAGGGUGCAAGCGUUAUCCGGAUUCACUGGGUUUAAAGGUGCGUAGGCGGGUUGGUAAGUCCGUGGUGAAAUCCCCAAGCUUAACUUGGGAACUGCCGUGGAUACUAUCAAUCUUGAAUAUCGUGGAGGUAAGCGGAAUAUGUCAUGUAGCGGUGAAAUGCUUAGAUAUGACAUAGAACACCAAUUGCGUAGGCAGCUUACUACACGAUCAUUGACGCUGAGGCACGAAAGCGUGGGGAGCAAACAGGAUUAGAUACCCUGGUAGUCCACGCCCUAAACGAUGGAUACUCGACAUCAGCGAUACACUGUUGGUGUCUGAGCGAAAGCAUUAAGUAUCCCACCUGGGAAGUACGAUCGCAAGAUUG
This 367-nucleotide ribosomal RNA is filed under the name uncultured organism. RNAcentral's name for it is "bacterial SSU rRNA". It matches the Rfam family "Bacterial small subunit ribosomal RNA", at positions 526 to 896 of the family's 1533-position model. The record is from RNAcentral.